RNAcentral lists this ribosomal RNA (468 nucleotides) under uncultured bacterium. Its description in RNAcentral is "partial 16S ribosomal RNA". It matches the Rfam family "Bacterial small subunit ribosomal RNA", at positions 28 to 507 of the family's 1533-position model. The record is from RNAcentral.
GACGAACGCUGGCGGCGUGCUUAACACAUGCGAGUCGAACGGAAAGGCCCUGCUUUUGUGGGGUGCUCGAGUGGCGAACGGGUGAGUAACACGUGAGUAACCUGCCCUUGACUUUGGGAUAACUUCAGGAAACUGGGGAUAAUACCGGAUAGGAGCCCCUGCUGCAUGGAGGGGGUUGGAAAGUGUCGGCGGAUGGGGGUGGACUCGCGGCUUAUCAGCUUGUUGGUGGGGUAGUGGCUUACCAAGGCUUUGGCGGGUAGCCGGCCUGUGAGGGUGUCCGGCCACAUUGGGACUGUGAUACGGCCCAGUCUCCUACGGGAGGGAGCAGUGGGGAAUAUUGCGCAAUGGGCGGAAGCCUGAGGCAGCAACGCCGCGUGCGGGAUGACGGCCUUCGGGUUGUAAACCGCUUUCGCCUGUGACGAAGCGAGAGUGACGGUAAUGGGUAAAGAAGCACCGGCUAACUACGUG